Molecule: long non-coding RNA, 4268 nt
Filed under: Olea europaea (common olive)
Lineage: Eukaryota; Viridiplantae; Streptophyta; Magnoliopsida; Lamiales; Oleaceae
Description: long non-coding RNA (OEUR_LNC000707)
Source: RNAcentral
GUAAGAUGAUGUUCAUUCGUGUUUUCUGUGUCUAGAUUACUUUUUAAAAGAUCAUGGUCAGAUGGAAACAUUCUUAGUGAAAGUCACUCGCCCACAUCCACCUCAAAAUCCAAUAUGGGCUUUUCUAGUGCUGGGUUAUCAGACAAGCCAAAAAGAGAAUGCAAAAUGCUUUCCGAGUCAACACCAGUAAUAUCAGCUUCUGAAAGUGACGUAACAUGUUCAAGGUACUCUUCUUUUCCUACUAAUGUGUACAUGUAUGCUUAAUUUUUUGUGUGAAUUUUUAAAUAAGAACUACCAAUUUUGUAUGUAGUAUGUGCUGCAUUAAUAUUUAAUGCAUCCUCUGUUUGGUCAAAAGGGUGGGAGAGUAGAUGGAACAGAAAAUGUGAUGUAUGAUUUUCCAUCAAAAAAGCACCUAUUUACCUCUCUGUUUUGUAGAUAGGAUAGAGAUGGGAGAGAAUUAACUUUUGAAAUUGGGGGUGAUUUAAGAUUGUUGUGUUUAUGCAUGUGUAGGGGGUGGGCUGGACUCAGAAUCCACCAUAUCAUUCCCUCCUGUUUACCCUUUUUCUUAACAGUGGAAACAUUUACUAUAUCCAAUUUCCAAUUCAUAAUUUCCUCUUACAUCUUCAUCACUUCAAUACUUCACAGGGUCACUUUUAGGAACUUCAUAGCUUCACCAUUUUUAGAUAUAACAAGCCCCAUCAUCGAAAAUGUUUGUUAGACUGUCAACAGAAGAAAAACAAAUCGUAGCUCAAAGCUGUCUGAUCCUUGGACAUUGAUUUUGAUUGAGUUCCAUAAAGUUGGGAAAAUUACUCUUCUUUUUUGCUCCGAGGACUGAGAUCAUAUUGCUUAAACAUUUUGCUAAACAACUAUUAAAGAUUAUGGAUUGAAUUUCCUGUCUAUUUCUUAUCUUUGAAGGUUGUGAACUUAUUGCAUUGUCUGCAUCUACGUUGGAAUCUGCUCGGUCUCUUCUGUUUGUUCUUGUAGUUCUUUUGUAUAAUAUUGAUUUUCUAGCAUCGACAUGGGAGGAUGAAAUAUCAUCUCUUGAACGAGUAGCUCUAUUGUUGUUUACAUUAUCCGGAGGAGAAGCUCAGCUCUACUGCUUUAUAGUUACUUGUUUUUUAAAUAUUUACCCGGAAUUUAAUAUGUGAAUUUGCACAGUUGUGUGCUUAUUUCAGUAUAAAUUUUAUCGGUUUACAGGAUACAGACUUGGGCAAUUUUAGAAUAUGGUAAUGUAUAAAAAUUUUACGUUUGUUUCAUUAUCUGCCAUCUUGUAUUGGUCUAGUCUGACAAACAAGCAUGUGCGUGCCCGCACAACAUCUCUGAAGAUGGAAUGAUGUCACCUAAAGAAUUUAAAGCUGGAAAUAAUUCAUUGAAAUGUGUCUUCUUUUGAUAUCAAAAGAAAAUUUCCUUGGCUAAUCUGUCAACAUUUUCACAUCUGCAGGUACACCCCUUCAGUGCCAUCUGUGGAGCUUCGUGCAGAAAUGCAGAGAGAUGGCUGCCUUGAACAUGAAAAUGUAGACACGAUUGACUGCUCGAACUUCGUUGACUUAGAUUGGCUUUCCUCUGGAACUUCAUGCGAGGAAGAGUCAUUGGAAAGGUACUCCUAUUUAGAGUCGCUUGAAUUUCUUUUUUCUUUAAGAUACUAUGGGUGAUGACUUCUUGGUGCUUCAUGGACGGGAGUAAUCUUUUCUAGAAAAAUGAAUGAUGUUACUUUGUUUCCUCGCUAUUGAAAUCUCUUGAAAAUAUAUGAUCAGAACCUUUGGCUUAUCCAGGGAAUGGACCAUUUCACAUUGAAACUUGCUAUUUCCCUUUUCUGUUAUUUGGCAAGCAAGUUAAGUUGCUUUAGAUCCAUUAUUCCUUACCCGUAUUAUCUUUCUUUUCUUGCAAGUAUGUACAGGUUUCUUUCGUAUAACUUUUCUGUGAAUUUGUAAUUGAUCUCAACUCUUUUCUUACAUUUGAGGUCUGUUUGACAUUGUUGUGGUUGAGGUCGUCUAUUCCUAGCUCUCAUCACCCUCUUUCACUAGUGCAGUUGAAAUUGUUAAUAUGGUUCUCAAUGUCUAUUCCGAAAUUAUUUUGAAUAUACAUGGCCUCCUUAUUUUAGCCUUCUCCAACUAAUCCUCCAUAAUCUCAUUCUUUCAGACUAGUAGAUAUAUUGUGUCUAGUUGCUCAAUUUAUCUAGAAAUGAAAACCAGGAAGGGUUUCUCAUGUCUGUAUUAUAAGAACAUUUCGUAUUGACGUUCGAAAUAUUUUUUCAACUUUAUUUAAUUAUUUUUUUAGAUUUUCUCUGAGAGAAGAGGUCAGUGGAAAGCUGCAAUCCAGUCCCAGGAAUUUUUUCGAACUCUACAGCGUUAUUACAGCAAUGCAUACAUGGAUGCAGAGAAACAAAAUGCCAUUAAUGUGUAAGUUAGUAGUGGUAACGAUCUUACUUAUGCUUUCUGAACUUUUACGUGAUAGAGAAGUCCUGGAUAAUGAGAUGGAUUGUGUGGGGGAGUUAAGGAACAUUCCAAUUUCAGCCAGAUUUUCUUUAUCCUCAAUUGAACAUGUUUCAAUGGAUCAAGAGAGAGUUUUGUCUGUCGUUUCAAAGACUUUCUUGUUUAAACUACCAUUCUUUUUUUUCAAGUUGAUCAAAUGACGCGUUCAUUGAAAUUAACGGUUCAUAUGUAUUUGAGCAGAUUUUUGGGGGAUUUUCUACCUCAACCAGGUAAACCGGAUGUGUGGGAACUGGAUUCUGACCAACAUUACAAUGUGGGGAGAUAUGGGCAGUCAAAUAUUGAUGAAAAUGGAAGGUAUGGUGGGAGAUAGUUAUCUGUGGAAAUGCUUAUAAUCUCUUUUACGUUUAUGGGAAAAUUUGCCCCAAUUUUCGCAUGCAUUUUUUGCCUUAGGACUUCCAUAACUAUCUGUGGAAAUGCUUAUAAUCUCUUUUACGUAUAUGGCGAAAUUUUACAAAAUUUUUGCCGAAGGACUUCCAUCUGACUUCUAGAUUGCCCAAAUUUUGAUUUGUUCGAUAAGCUAAAAAUUCAUGUUGGACCAAUAUAUAUAUUCUCUUCAGGAUGGAAUUGAUUUAUUUAUUACUGGUCCAAGAUGUACUGCUGUAUUUGUUGCAAACAAAUUUGUGGGGGACUAAUAUAUUUUUGUGAUAGCUCAGUAACUCUUUCUAUAGCCGUGUGGUGGUAAGAUGAUGUUCAUUCGUGUUUUCUGUGUCUAGAUUACUUUUUAAAAGAUCAUGGUCAGAUGGAAACAUUCUUAGUGAAAGUCACUCGCCCACAUCCACCUCAAAAUCCAAUAUGGGCUUUUCUAGUGCUGGGUUAUCAGACAAGCCAAAAAGAGAAUGCAAAAUGCUUUCCGAGUCAACACCAGUAAUAUCAGCUUCUGAAAGUGACGUAACAUGUUCAAGGUACUCUUCUUUUCCUACUAAUGUGUACAUGUAUGCUUAAUUUUUUGUGUGAAUUUUUAAAUAAGAACUACCAAUUUUGUAUGUAGUAUGUGCUGCAUUAAUAUUUAAUGCAUCCUCUGUUUGGUCAAAAGGGUGGGAGAGUAGAUGGAACAGAAAAUGUGAUGUAUGAUUUUCCAUCAAAAAAGCACCUAUUUACCUCUCUGUUUUGUGGAGAUAGUUAUCUGUGGAAAUGCUUAUAAUCUCUUUUACGUUUAUGGGAAAAUUUGCCCAAAUUUUCGCAUGCAUUUUUUGCCUUAGGACUUCCAUAACUAUCUGUGGAAAUGCUUAUAAUCUCUUUUACGUAUAUGGCGAAAUUUUACAAAAUUUUUGCCGAAGGACUUCCAUCUGACUUCUAGAUUGCCCAAAUUUUGAUUUGUUCGAUAAGCUAAAAAUUCAUGUUGGACCAAUAUAUAUAUUCUCUUCAGGAUGGAAUUGAUUUAUUUAUUACUGGUCCAAGAUGUACUGCUGUAUUUGUUGCAAACAAAUUUGUGGGGGACUAAUAUAUUUUUGUGAUAGCUCAGUAACUCUUUCUAUAGCCGUGUGGUGGUAAGAUGAUGUUCAUUCGUGUUUUCUGUGUCUAGAUUACUUUUUAAAAGAUCAUGGUCAGAUGGAAACAUUCUUAGUGAAAGUCACUCGCCCACAUCCACCUCAAAAACCAAUAUGGGCUUUUCUAGUGCUGGGUUAUCAGACAAGCCAAAAAGAGAAUGCAAAAUGCUUUCCGAGUCAACACCAGUAAUAUCAGCUUCUGAAAGUGACGUAACAUGUUCAAGGUACUCUUCUUUUCCUACUAAUUUGUACAUGUAUGCUUAAUUUUUUGUGUGAAUUUUUAAAUAAG